GAUGAACGCUGGCGGCGUGCUUAACACAUGCAAGUCGAACGGAAAGGCCGUAGCUUGCUUCGGUGCUCGAGUGGCGAACGGGUGAGUAACACGUGGGUAACCUGCCCUGUACUUUGGGAUAAGUUUGGGAAACUGGGUCUAAUACCGGAUAUGACGAUCUCUUGGAUGGGGGUGUGGAGAGCUUUUGCGCUAUGGGGUGAGGUCGCGGCGCAUCAGAUUGUUGGGGGGGGAGUGGCCUACCCAGGCGUCGACGGGGAGCCGGCGUGAGAGGGGGUACGGGCACACUUGGGCUGAGAGACAGGCCAGAGUCCUACGGGGGGGAGCAGUGGGGAAAAUAGCACAAUGGGCGCAAGCGUGAGGCAGAGACGCCGCGUGGGGGAGGAGGGCCUUCGUGUUGUAAACACCUCUCGCGAUCGACGAAGCCCUUUGGUGACGGUAGGUGGAGAAGAAGCACCGGCUAACUACGUG
RNAcentral lists this ribosomal RNA (468 nucleotides) under uncultured bacterium. Its description in RNAcentral is "partial 16S ribosomal RNA". It matches the Rfam family "Bacterial small subunit ribosomal RNA", at positions 28 to 507 of the family's 1533-position model. The record is from RNAcentral.